Molecule: ribosomal RNA, 633 nt
Filed under: Triticum aestivum (bread wheat)
Lineage: Eukaryota; Viridiplantae; Streptophyta; Magnoliopsida; Poales; Poaceae
Description: partial small subunit ribosomal RNA
Source: RNAcentral
AUGCAUUGUGAUCUCUGGACAGCUCCCAUCUCCAGUGUUUCUGGCAACAAAUACUACCUUAUCAUCAUCGACGAUUACACUAAAUACCGGUGGACGUUUCCUCUUGUCCUUAAGUCCGACGUGCAUGCUAUUUUUCGUUCGUUCCAUGCUCUUGUUCGCACCCAUUUUCAUCGCACUAUCGCCACAUUCCAAUGCGAGAAUGGCCGAGAGUUUGACAACGCUAGUAAUCGCGACUUCUUCCUUCCUUUUGGUACGACCAUGCGUUUCUCAUGUCCUUACACGUCUUCACAAAACGGCACUGCUGAGCGCGCUAUUCGCUCCACUAACGACGUUGUACGGACCCUUCUAAUUCAAGCCAACAUGCCGCCUAAGUACUGGGCUAAUGCCCUCUCUACUACCACCCAUCUUCUCAAUCUUCGGCCAACCAAAACCCUACUUCGAUCUACUCCUCACGAGGCUAUUUUCUCUCAACCUCCUACGUAUGAUCACCUUAGGGUUUUUGGAUGUCUUUGUUUUCCCAACAUGUCCGCCACUGCUGCCCACAAGUUGGUACCGCGGUCGACGGCGUGUCUCUUUCUUGGAUAUCCUACGGAUCACAAAGGCUACCGCUGCCUUGAUCUCUCCACACACCGG